UACGUAGGUGGCAAGCGUUGUCCGGAUUUAUUGGGGUUAAAGGGUGCGUAGGCGGCCUAUUAAGUCAGUGGUGAAAUAUUUCAGCUCAACUGGAAUUGUGCCAUUGAUACUGAUGGGCUUGAGUACAGAUGAGGUAGGCGGAAUUGACGGUGUAGCGGUGAAAUGCUUAGAUAUCGUCAAGAACACCUAUAGCGAAGGCAGCUUACUAGGCUGUAACUGACGCUGAGGCACGAAAGUGUGGGGAUCAAACAGG
RNAcentral lists this ribosomal RNA (253 nucleotides) under uncultured bacterium. Its description in RNAcentral is "partial 16S ribosomal RNA". It matches the Rfam family "Bacterial small subunit ribosomal RNA", at positions 524 to 776 of the family's 1533-position model. The record is from RNAcentral.